This 464-nucleotide ribosomal RNA is filed under the name uncultured bacterium. Its description in RNAcentral is "bacterial SSU rRNA". It matches the Rfam family "Bacterial small subunit ribosomal RNA", at positions 331 to 793 of the family's 1533-position model. The record is from RNAcentral.
CCAGACUCCUACGGGAGGCAGCAGUGAGGAAUAUUGGUCAAUGGGCGCGAGCCUGAACCAGCCAAGUCGCGUGAGGGAAGACGGUCCUAUGGAUUGUAAACCUCUUUUGUCGGGGAGCAAAAGACGCCACGCGUGGCGUUCCGAGAGUACCCGAAGAAAAAGCAUCGGCUAACUCCGUGCCAGCAGCCGCGGUAAUACGGAGGAUGCGAGCGUUAUCCGGAUUUAUUGGGUUUAAAGGGUGCGUAGGCGGACUGUAAGCGGGGGGGAAAACGCGGGGGGCACACCCCGGGCGAGCCGUUGAAACUGGCUGUCUUGAGAUGUCGAGAGGUAUGCGGAAUGCGCAGUGUAGCGGUGAAAUGCUUAGAUAUUGCGCAGAACUCCGAUUGCGAAGGCAGCAUACCGGCGGCGAUCUGACGCUGAGGCACGAAAGCGUGGGUAUCGAACAGGAUUAGAUACCCGUGUAU